RNAcentral lists this ribosomal RNA (498 nucleotides) under uncultured bacterium. Its description in RNAcentral is "partial 16S ribosomal RNA". It matches the Rfam family "Bacterial small subunit ribosomal RNA", at positions 28 to 507 of the family's 1533-position model. The record is from RNAcentral.
GACGAACGCUGGCGGCGUGCCUAAUACAUGCAAGUCGAGCGGACGAAUCGAAAGCUUGCUUUUGAUUCGUUAGCGGCGGACGGGUGAGUAACACGUGGGCAACCUGCCCUGUAGACGGGGAUAACACCGAGAAAUCGGUGCUAAUACCGGAUAACACGAAAUGUCGCAUGACGUUUCGUUGAAAGACGGCGCACGCUGUCGCUACAGGAUGGGCCCGCGGCGCAUUAGCUAGUUGGUGAGGUAACGGCUCACCAAGGCGACGAUGCGUAGCCGACCUGAGAGGGUGAUCGGCCACACUGGGACUGAGACACGGCCCAGACUCCUACGGGAGGCAGCAGUAGGGAAUCUUCCGCAAUGGACGAAAGCCUGACGGAGCAACGCCGCGUGAGCGAAGAAGGCCUUCGGGUCGUAAAGCUCUGUUGUUAGGGAAGAACAAGUAACGCAGUAACUGGCGUUACCGUGACGGUACCUAACGAGAAAGCCACGGCUAACUACGUG